This 123-nucleotide ribosomal RNA is filed under the name Selaginella helvetica. Its description in RNAcentral is "partial 5.8S ribosomal RNA". It matches the Rfam family "5.8S ribosomal RNA", at positions 34 to 154 of the family's 154-position model. From Rfam's summary of the family: 5.8S ribosomal RNA (5.8S rRNA) is a component of the large subunit of the eukaryotic ribosome. It is transcribed by RNA polymerase I as part of the 45S precursor that also contains 18S and 28S rRNA. Functionally, it is thought that 5.8S rRNA may be involved in ribosome translocation. The record is from RNAcentral. Lineage: Eukaryota; Viridiplantae; Streptophyta; Lycopodiopsida; Selaginellales; Selaginellaceae.
UACGAUGAAGGACGCAGCGAAAUGCGAUAUGUGGUGUGAAUUGCAGAAUUCCGUGAAUCAUCGAAUGUUUGAACGCAACUUGUGCCCAAGGUUUGUCCCGAGGGCAUGCCUGCCUGAGCGUCU